AGUGAACGCUGGCGGUAGGCCUAACACAUGCAAGUCGAACGGCAGCACAGUAAGAGCUUGCUCUUACGGGUGGCGAGUGGCGGACGGGUGAGGAAUACAUCGGAAUCUACUUUUUCGUGGGGGAUAACGUAGGGAAACUUACGCUAAUACCGCAUACGACCUACGGGUGAAAGCAGGGGAUCUUCGGACCUUUCGCGAUUGAAUGAGCCGAUGUCGGAUUAGCUAGUUGGCGGGGUAAAGGCCCACCAAGGCGACGAUCCGUAGCUGGUCUGAGAGGAUGAUCAGCCACACUGGAACUGAGACACGGUCCAGACUCCUACGGGAGGGAGCAGUGGGGAAUAUUGGACAAUGGGCGAAAGCCUGAUACAGCCAUACCGCGUGGGUGAAGAAGGCCUUCGGGUUGUAAAGCCCUUUUGUUGGGAAAGAAAAGCAGCAGGUUAAUACCCCGCUGUUCUGACGGUACCCAAAGAAUAAGCACCGGCUAACUUCGUG
RNAcentral lists this ribosomal RNA (492 nucleotides) under uncultured bacterium. RNAcentral describes it as "partial 16S ribosomal RNA". It matches the Rfam family "Bacterial small subunit ribosomal RNA", at positions 29 to 507 of the family's 1533-position model. The record is from RNAcentral.